Non-coding RNA from Nicotiana tabacum (common tobacco), 961 nucleotides. The record is from RefSeq and is a predicted model, not a curated record. NCBI's taxonomy places the organism in Eukaryota, Viridiplantae, Streptophyta, Magnoliopsida, Solanales, Solanaceae.
UUUUGCCAAACCAAUUUCCUUCUUCUUUCAUGCAUCUGAUAUUUGGUAAUUUUAUUUAAUUUCUUUCCUGUGUUUUAGAUAUACUGUACGAUUUCAAGGAUAAGCAGGGUAACCUCAAGCAAAGUCUCUGUAAAGAUACAAAAGGAUUGUUACAAUUAUAUGAAGUUUGAUUCCUCUUGGACGAAACUGAAAGCACUUUUCUAGAGUGUGCAAAUAAAUUCGCAAUGUCACAUCUACAGAAUUAUUAUCUCAAGAAUAAAUAUAAUAGGAGUAAUCAAGACAAUCCGACAGUCGCAUUAGUGGGCCAUGCACUGAAACUUCCUUUGUAUUGGAUGAUGUUGAAAGUUGAGACAAGUUGGUACCUUAACAUUUAUGAGAAUAUUUCAAAUGCUAAUCCUCUUCUGCUGGAGCUGGCCAAGUUGGACUUCAACAUUGUUCAAGCAACACAUCAAGAAGAUUUGAAAAUCCUGUCAAGUUUUCAUGUAAAGAUGGUGGAAGAGCACACGCCUUGCAGUAAAGUUGCCAUUUUUAAGGGAUAGACUGGUGGAGGCUUUAUUUUUUGCAGUGGGGAUAAUAUUUGAGCCUCAGCACAGCUACUACCGAAGAACGUUGACAAAAGUCAUUGCUUUUGUUGCAGUCAUAGAUGAUAUUUAUGAUGUUUAUGGCACACCUGAUGAGUUGGAAGUCUUCACUAAUGCUUUUGAAAGAUGGGAGACAGAAGCAAUGGAACAACUUCCAGAUUAUAUGAAAGUAUGUUAUCUUGAGCUCUUCAAUACAACCAAUGAAAUAGCUUAUGAGGUUCUCAAUGAGUAAGGGAUCAACAUUCUACCCUACCUUAUAAAAUCUUGAGCAGAUUUGUGCAAAUCUUACCUACAAGAAGCAAGGUGGUACUACAAUAGAUAUACGCCAACUCUGGAAGAAUACAUGAAUAAUGCAUGGAUCUCAGUUGCAGUUCCUAUGG